This 1992-nucleotide long non-coding RNA is filed under the name Mus pahari (shrew mouse). RNAcentral describes it as "lncRNA (MGP_PahariEiJ_G0006152.1)". The stretch from base 1699 to 1771 matches the Rfam family "mir-205 microRNA precursor family". Lineage: Eukaryota; Metazoa; Chordata; Mammalia; Rodentia; Muridae. The record is from RNAcentral.
UCUGUGGCCAAGCUCUAUUUAGCUGAGCCUCUGCACUCCGCCCCCUCUCUUUCCAGCUUCCUUUAGCCCCCUCUCUGCUACUUUCUCCUACUUUCCUAUUGUCUUUUACUAAAGAGAGGACCACGUGUCUCUUUCUCCAGGAGCAACUUCUGCUCUGCCCAGGCCGCUGAACUGGGCACCCUGUAGAGCAUGUGCCGCCUCUUCUAGUCCUCAAUUCUUGAGGGUAAAAGACCUCCCCAAGACUUAAAAAUUCUUUAUUGUUGUUUUUGCUUUGGUUUGGUUUUUUUCCUCCCCAGGAUUCUUUAACCAUCUUCCUGCUUGGUGCUCUCUUUAGAAUCAAAAAAAAAAAAAAAAAAAAAAAAAGAAAUUGCAUCAAAGGCAAAGCUGAGCCUGAUAUCCGAAGUUAUAGGUACUCCUAUGUACUUGCAGAAUGGAGCUGAAAUCCCACAAGAAGUCAAGACUCCUUCCAACCCAGAACUACCUCCCACAGUCUCCCUUGGUCAGAGCCAACAGACCUGUGUCUUUCUCCCCUUUGACUAGGAAGUGGGUCAAAGGUGGUGUGGGGGCUUCUGUGGUCUUGAUAACUCAGUAAGUAUUCACUAAAAGGCUGAGCAGAAGAUUCACUGAACCUCUUGCUCUCUGCACUCAGCACCCUGCCUCUAGUGUGCCCUGUGCACACCCUGAGAAAGGUGCCUUAGUUUGGACCCAGGAAAGUGGGAUUCUUCCCUAACCAUAGCUAGAAAUCCCUGCUUUUGUGUAAGAGUCUUUCUCAGAGGCCCGAUGACCUGGGGGCUGGAUGGGAGAGGUGGAGCCUCUCUGUCAGGUCAGGACAAGCCCAGGAAGAAGAAAGUAUUCCAAACAAGGUAGGCCAGCCCUACCCACCCUGUCUGCUUGUCUCUGCUUAGAGCAGCCUUUUAUGAGGCUUACACUGAGCAGCAGACAUGUCUGAACAAAGCAAAGAGGCCAAUGCAACCCUGCAAAGCUACUGCUUGGUGAGCAUUUUCUUUUGGGCAGGGACAGAAAGUCCACAGGUAUUGCAUGGCCUCUCAGUGUAUCUCAGUCUCUAAAAGCCAGUUAUAUUCUGGCCUGCCUCCCUUGACCUCCACCCUAGGCUCCUUGGAGAAGUCGUUCACUGCAGAUCUGGGGAAAGAUAUAUGGCCAUUAGAGACUGACUUUCUCAGACUGUGCUUCUCCAGGUCUGUUCCUGUUUAUGCAGACAAGCAGAGUCACUGUCCUUUUUCAGAAGAAUACCUGCUCCUCUGUAUUCCACCCCUUGGUAUGAAAUGAAAGAAUGUGUGCUUUCUCUAGAUAUCACCAAACAUACCCAGCUCUGGUACGGAAUACACAUUGAAGAGGAGAGCCAGCAUCCUAACUAGGUAUACAGAGAGGAGACUCCACUUGGAUGUAUCUGGGGUGGCCCUUAAUGGGCAAGAAACUACCUAGAGUCAAGCCCCACCCAGAGCAUUGGCUAUAACACCCAGAGCACUCUGAGGUGGGAACAUGAAUGCCUGAGGGUUUGAGUAUUCAGGUCCUAAUCAGGUCCUGAAUGAAUGAAUGAAUGAAUGAAUGAAUGAAUGAAUGAAUACAGGUAUUCAGGUCCUGUAAGAGUGGGGUUGCAGGAUCCUGAAGGUCUCCUUCAGGUCACACAGCACUACAAGAGGAGGCUUAGUAGACAAACAGCCCCAGACAAUCCAUGGGUCCUCUUGUCCUUCAUUCCACCGGAGUCUGUCUUAUGCCAACCAGAUUUCAGUGGAGUGAAGCUCAGGAGGCAUGGAGCUACCAGCGGUGGACUGAAGCACAGCAUUUGAACCGAGGCAUUCUGCAAAAACACAGUCACUAAAAGCACCUGCAGCAUGUGCUUUUGCAGAGGGAUGGCAAUGGCAGGCAAGAACACACUGCCAGUGAUUGCUGUGUGGCCUUUCUUCCUACAACCAAUGCUUCAGAAAUGUGUAUUUUCUGUAACUUGCAAAAUUAAAAAUUGCCUAUCUGCUG